RNAcentral lists this ribosomal RNA (373 nucleotides) under uncultured Arthrobacter sp. RNAcentral's name for it is "bacterial SSU rRNA". It matches the Rfam family "Bacterial small subunit ribosomal RNA", at positions 484 to 854 of the family's 1533-position model. Lineage: Bacteria; Bacillati; Actinomycetota; Actinomycetes; Micrococcales; Micrococcaceae. The record is from RNAcentral.
GAAGAAGCGCCGGCUAACUACGUGCCAGCAGCCGCGGUAAUACGUAGGGCGCAAGCGUUAUCCGGAAUUAUUGGGCGUAAAGAGCUCGUAGGCGGUUUGUCGCGUCUGCUGUGAAAGACCGGGGCUCAACUCCGGUUCUGCAGUGGGUACGGGCAGACUAGAGUGCAGUAGGGGAGACUGGAAUUCCUGGUGUAGCGGUGAAAUGCGCAGAUAUCAGGAGGAACACCGAUGGCGAAGGCAGGUCUCUGGGCUGUAACUGACGCUGAGGAGCGAAAGCAUGGGGAGCGAACAGGAUUAGAUACCCUGGUAGUCCAUGCCGUAAACGUUGGGCACUAGGUGUGGGGGACAUUCCACGUUUUCCGCGCCGUAGCUA